RNAcentral lists this long non-coding RNA (454 nucleotides) under Panax ginseng (ginseng). Its description in RNAcentral is "long non-coding RNA (PGIN_LNC003501)". The record is from RNAcentral. Lineage: Eukaryota; Viridiplantae; Streptophyta; Magnoliopsida; Apiales; Araliaceae.
GAUAAUACCUGUUUAUUGUCAAAUUAUACUGAGAAAUGUCUUAGCUAAUUAUUCUGGCUAGACGAAUAUUGGUUAGAACUUGAUAGGUUCGAGAAGAGAAUUCAAUUAUUAUUGAUAGAUCGAUGCCAAUUAUUUCGGCUAAGAUCGAGAAGUAAAUAGAAUUUGAAAUCAUAGUAUUUCGUUGUUAAAUCAAAAUCUUGAUUCUGAGACUGAGAAGAACAACCUUUUAUAAAAAGGGAAUAUCAUUAAAUCGUAUAUUCGAUCAUUGCGCGCGACUUAAGUAUUAUGCAUAAUAUAGGGUAUAAUAAGCUGAUCACUUGUUAUACUUGCAGAGGGGUAUGAUUUAAUCUUUACGGUUAUCUGAUACACCUGGGUAUAUCAAAGUAUAACUUUGAUAGUUACUCGAGAAGAGAAGUUCAAGAUCCAAUGGAUCGCUCAGUAUAAAUCUGGAAAA